AUGGUCGAAUUCAAUUGCGCCACUGGCGACCGCAUGCUUUUUCAGGAAUGUGAGGGGUGGAAAUUCAUCAUUGAGGUCAGGAAAGAACACAGGAGGACCUACAUCUGUGGCAUUGGGUGGGAGGACUUCAUCAGGUUGAACAAUCUCAGUGAGGGAGUUUUGCUCCGUUUUGUACUCGAUGGACCAGUGCCAAAGUUGCAGAUUUGCAUGGUUUCGCCACCUCCCAACCAGGCUGAUCUAGCGCUUGAGGCUGUUGUGUUCACGGAAGACAUCAAGAAGAAGGCAAGAAAGAGUGCAAAGCUGUAUGAAACUCUACUGUAUUCAAUCCUUAGUUUUCUGGUCUCCAGUAUAUUCUUGUUGUGGUCAGUUUUGAACUAG
RNAcentral lists this ribosomal RNA (378 nucleotides) under Triticum aestivum (bread wheat). Its description in RNAcentral is "partial small subunit ribosomal RNA". The record is from RNAcentral. Lineage: Eukaryota; Viridiplantae; Streptophyta; Magnoliopsida; Poales; Poaceae.